GAUGAACGCUAGCGGCAGGCUUAACACAUGCAAGUCGAGGGGUAACAGGAGAUAGUUUACUAUUUUGCUGACGACCGGCGCACGGGUGAGUAACGCGUAUACAAUUUGCCUUUUACAGGAGGAUAGCCCAGAGAAAUUUGGAUUAAUACUCCAUGGUAUUACGGAAUCGCAUGGUUUUGUAAUUAAAGUUUCGGCGGUAGAAGAUGAGUAUGCGUCCUAUUAGCUAGUUGGUAAGGUAACGGCUUACCAAGGCGACGAUAGGUAGGGGUCCUGAGAGGGAGAUCCCCCACACUGGUACUGAGACACGGACCAGACUCCUACGGAGGCAGCAGUGGGGAAUCUUAGACAAUGGGGGCAACCCUGAUCUAGCCAUGCCGCGUGAGUGACGAAGGCCCUAGGGUCGUAAGCUCUUUCG
RNAcentral lists this ribosomal RNA (415 nucleotides) under uncultured bacterium. Its description in RNAcentral is "bacterial SSU rRNA". It matches the Rfam family "Bacterial small subunit ribosomal RNA", at positions 28 to 438 of the family's 1533-position model. The record is from RNAcentral.